RNAcentral lists this long non-coding RNA (284 nucleotides) under Ananas comosus (pineapple). Its description in RNAcentral is "long non-coding RNA (ACOM_LNC011002)". The record is from RNAcentral. Lineage: Eukaryota; Viridiplantae; Streptophyta; Magnoliopsida; Poales; Bromeliaceae.
UAUAUAUAUAGAAUUGAGCUCCUAUGCUUUUAAAAGUACCAAGUUAUUGGUGCUUGUAAGUUUUCGGCCCUUGGAUUAAAGGAUGUGCGGUUAGAAUGAUGUGGGCUCCCUAGGGUUGAGUGGGCGGUUGGUUGAAUAGUAUAAUAUUCUAACGGAUAAAAAUGAUCAAAGGCAUAGAUUUAACGGUAAAAAAUUUAUAAGCACCAAGUGUUUGGUACUUUUACAAGUGCCAUAACCGGACUCAUAUAUAUAUAUAUAUAUAUAUAUAUAUAUAUAUAUAUAUA